Molecule: long non-coding RNA, 284 nt
Organism: Onychostruthus taczanowskii (white-rumped snowfinch)
Lineage: Eukaryota; Metazoa; Chordata; Aves; Passeriformes; Passeridae
Exons: 4
Source: RefSeq, a predicted model, not a curated record
CUGGGAGCUGGGGGCAAGGGUGAAGGCUGUACUGGGAACGGGUCCCAGGCCAUGGCCGGCGCGUAGCCCCUCCCCCCACCGGACCGGAGCCGUGGACACGCUGAGCCAGAGCCGGAAGGGAGCGAUGAUUGGCUGCCAGGCGAGAGGCGCGCUGUGAUUGGCCGCUUCCUGGAGAGCGUCGCGUCAUCGGUGUAUGCGGCAGUGAGGGAGGGGCCGCCCCCGCCCAGCAGCCGCCCCCUCCCCCCCCCCACGGGGGGGCCGCGGGGGGACCCAGCCCCCCCCAG